AACGAACGCUGGCGGCAGGCCUAACACAUGCAAGUCGAACGAAGGCCCGGAGCUUGCUCCGGUCACCUUAGUGGCGGACGGGUGAGUAGCACGUGGGAAUCUACCUUGCAGUACGGAAUAACUGUUGGAAACGGCAGCUAAUACCGUAUACGCCCUUCGGGGGAAAGAUUUAUCGCUGUUGGAUGAGCCCGCGCCUGAUUAGCUUGUUGGUGAGGUAAUGGCUCACCAAGGCUACGAUCAGUAGCUGGUCUAAGAGGAUGAUCAGCCACACUGGGACUGAGACACGGCCCAGACUCCUACGGGAGGCAGCAGUGGGGAAUAUUGGACAAUGGGGGCAACCCUGAUCCAGCCAUGCCGCGUGAGUGAAGAAGGCCCUAGGGUUGUAAAACUCUUUCACCAGGGACGAUGAUGACGGUACCUGGAGAAGAAGCCCCGGCUAACUCCGUG
Molecule: ribosomal RNA, 447 nt
Filed under: uncultured bacterium
Lineage: Bacteria
Description: bacterial SSU rRNA
Rfam family: Bacterial small subunit ribosomal RNA
Source: RNAcentral